GCUAAACGCGAAGAACCUUACCUGGGCUUGAACUGUCGGUAUAGGGACCCGAAAGGGCGACGAUCCCGGGCAACCGGGAAGCCGAUAGAGGUGCUGCAUGGCUGUCGUCAGCUCGUGUCGUGAGAUGUUGGGUUAAGUCCCGCAACGAGCGCAACCCUUGUCUUUAGUUGCCAGCGAGUCAUGUCGGGCACUCUAAGGAGACUGCCUCGGAUAACGAGGAGGAAGGUGGGGAUGACGUCAAGUCAGCAUGGCCUUUAUGUCCAGGGCUACACACGUGCUACAAUGGGCGGCACAGAAGGACGCGAGACCGCGAGGUCAAGCCAACCCUUAAAACCGUUCUCAGUUCGGAUUGCAGGCUGCAAUUCGCCUGCAUGAAGUCGGAAUCGCUAGUAAUCGCGGAUCAGCUACGCCGCGGUGAAUACGUUCUCGGGUCUUGUACACACCG
RNAcentral lists this ribosomal RNA (445 nucleotides) under uncultured bacterium. RNAcentral's name for it is "bacterial SSU rRNA". It matches the Rfam family "Bacterial small subunit ribosomal RNA", at positions 954 to 1392 of the family's 1533-position model. The record is from RNAcentral.